RNAcentral lists this long non-coding RNA (429 nucleotides) under Musa acuminata (dwarf banana). RNAcentral's name for it is "long non-coding RNA (MACU_LNC011576)". The record is from RNAcentral. Lineage: Eukaryota; Viridiplantae; Streptophyta; Magnoliopsida; Zingiberales; Musaceae.
ACUGGCUGGUCUACUAGAAUUUGAGCUAAGAUUCUUGGUAAAGUCAAUUAUGAAUUCAAAAAUAUGUUCAGUGAGUGGCCUUACCAUAUUAAUAUAGGGAUAUUAGUGAACAGCAUGUAGCAGCUAUAUGUUCAUGACACGCGGACUCUUUACACGUUAUCAGAGAUAGUUAUUACUGACUCAAAAGUCUUCAAGGUGGUUACAAGUAAAUUGCCAUGCAAGUAGUUGCAACUAUUAGACCACAUUCUUGUAGAUUACAAUUGAAUCAAGACUCAGCUAUUGGUUAACUAUCAGAUCUGAAGUAACAUACUCAAUUUGAGCAAAUGUCUGUUACAGGCCAUUAUAUAAAGAGACUUCCUCAAGAACAGGUGAAAUCUUUCCAAUCCCUUCAACUCUGUUUUCAUUUAGGUUUCCAUAUGCUUAUUCUCU